Long non-coding RNA from Arvicola amphibius (Eurasian water vole), 8480 nucleotides. RefSeq lists it as uncharacterized. The transcript is spliced from 5 exons. The record is from RefSeq and is a predicted model, not a curated record. NCBI's taxonomy places the organism in Eukaryota, Metazoa, Chordata, Mammalia, Rodentia, Cricetidae.
CAAAAAAAAAAGAAACCUGUUGAGUAGUGAAGUUCCAAAAGCUUCCAAACUCUACAUACGCCCACCACUAGAAUGGGCACAUACACACACACACACACACACACACACACACACACACACACACUUCCCCUUGGAAACUUGGGUAAGCCUUAUUCUUUUCCUGGGCAUCUCACAUCUUACUAACCCCUUGUCUUAAGAUCUUUGAUAAAAAAAAUGUCUUUCAAUAAUAGACUUAAACUCUGCUUCACACUGCCUUGUUCUGGAAUUUUCUCCACCGAAACCAAGAGCCCAGAUUUACCUAACUGGAAGUCCUCAGAAAGGUUAAGAGAAUACCCAAGGCUGCUGGUGGCUGCUCUGGGCUGUCUCCUAUCCUGCUGUCAUUGGCAGAAUGAAUCAGCAAUUUGAGAAGGACAGCAUUGGGCUUGGUAUGCAAAGGUCUGGGCUGAUUCCAGACGGGGCUUUAACAUUCCUAGGUAACCUUGAAUAUAUAAUCCACAAGAGACAAGGUUUUCUUCUUUCAAAUUAUAGACAACAUAUCAAUUGUUUUUCCUCAAAGCUUUUAUAAAAGUCAUCCAAGGAUGUUGUUGAAAGUGAUGUAGUGUAUAGUACCAUCGUAAAGGUAAUUAAAGUCUCAAAUAUGGCUUCCUGCUCCACCAUACAACCGAGCUCCUAUUCAUAAUUUUCUAUAGAUCAUUCGAAUAAAUUAAGAGAGGCUAAAUGCCCCCCCUAGAAAACAUGAUAGAGCUAUUCAGACAAUAACAUGCUGAAACAAGAGCUGACAACAGGUUAUUUACAAGAAUUACUUGGCCUUCUGGUGUUUGAAGCUACCUUAAGCAGAAUUCAAGUAAUAAUAGUGAGCUUUGAGGCUUUGAUAUAGCCCAUAUAAAGGUCUGACACCAUUUCAAUUAUUCUAUAUUAUUAAUUCACUUAAUAACAGGCUAGUCAAUGUACUUUUAAAUAUACUUAAGUUUUUUAAAAAUUGGUUAAUCAGAUUUUCUUAAAGCCAUUGUUCAACAAUGUCAACCUCCCACCUCCCACACCCUAGUUUCUUUUCCAUAUUCAUGACUUUGGUUUUGUUGUGCUAGCCAUUUGGUUUAGUAAGGGCCAUCUGUGUGACCACUGCAUUGGAGGAAUACAUUGGAGCCUGGAAGGAUUACCAGUUGUACACAAAUAAGGGAAUGACUCGUUUCCAUGAAUCUAUCUGAAGGAAUUAAGUAAGUAGCGAGAAGUAGCAUCCUCUGAGACCCUCUCCAUUCUUGUCUGCUUGUGGUUGAUGGGUCCAUUUUUUUUGUUUGUUUGUUUUGGUUUUGGUUUUUUGAGACAGGGUUUCUCUGUGUAGCUUUGGAAACUGUCCUGGAACUUGCUCUUGUAGACCAGGCUGGCCUUGAACUCACAGAGAUCCACCUGCCUCUGCCUCCCAAGUGCUGGGAUUAAAGGCAUGUGCCACCACAACCCAACUUGUGAGACCCUGUGCAUUCUUGUCUGCCAGUUGAUGCCCAUUCUUGUGCGGGCCCAAUUCAGUCAUCAGUAGAUGUGGAGAGUUUCUAAUCGCAAUGUCUGAAAACACAUAGCUUUGAUCUGAUAUCUUAUAUUGUUCCUAAGGAAUAAGGGAUAACUCCCCAACCUCAGCACUCAACAUGCAGCUGUUAUAUUGCUUUGAGUUUCAUGGAAAGGAAAAGAAAGAAGCAGUUCAAAUACAGCUUCUUACAACCUGUCCUCCCAGCUGACCAAGAACACAGACUUACUCUUUCUGUUGAAUAAAAACCUAUACCAUUACAGCAAUGUAGAUUAAUAUCCUGUUUCUAGGGAUAAGAGUACAAAAAUUUCUUUGGUAAUUUUAUUUGUGUUUUUAAAAAUGUAUAAUGAUAGAUCUAAAUAUGAAUAAUGGCUAUUGUAUGUGUGAUAAUUAAGAAGUAUUGUGUUAUUUGUUAAACGUUAAAAUAGUUCAAUUUUAUAAUGAGAUGAAUUAUUUAUGCCUAGAGGUAUACUUGGAGUCUUCAUUAAUGAAUGAACCUAUAUUUUGGUUAGGUGCUUAUGGCAAUUUGCUCUUAUUAUAAAAGCUCAAAAUAAAAACUCUCAGAAGUUGAUAGUUUGCCAGUAUUCAGCAAUAUUGACCAGGGAACCUCAGAAGCAAGAUUGGUAAUUAGUGCUUUGACAUCUCAGACUCAUCCUGAAUUCAUUUAUGUUCAAAAUCUUUAGAUGAGCGAUGAUCUAAUGGCUGAGCAUGGUUUCAGCAGUAUUAAAAAGUAACUAAAAUCAAAAUGAAGUCUAACAAAAUGAAUGUGUUACAAAGACAAAGUGUGGCUCAAAAACUCUGAAAUCGCUUUCAGUUUGUUUGUUUAAUGUGCUUAUUUGAGAAAAGCUUUGCCAACCUUUCCUUUGAACUUCUGAGCUCUUAUUCUGUCCUUGUUCACAGAACUUGGGCUUUGGAAUCUGAAUGGCCUGUAUUUGCCUUCUAGUCUUUCACGUCUCUCAGUUAGUAGCUAUGUAACUUCUGCUUUUGUAUAGCACACUAACCAACAGUUUCUCCCUCACCUGCCCCAUGAGGUUUUCCUGAAUAUUCAAGAGAGGUUGGAAAGAUCUUUAGAACAUUGCUUGAUUUGCAAGCCCCCCCCUCCCCUAAUUACCCUUCACACUCCCGAAAAAUCCUCCCAAUGAUGGAGAAGGUGGUUGUGCAUUUUCUAAGGGGGUCAGGGCUCUCAAGGGCUGAGGGGCUCAGAGGCUUCAUGGACAGACUUGACAGAGUGGGGACAGUAAACGUGCUGAAGGCUGGGCAGAUGACAAUAUUUGGAAUCAGGGAGAUCAGCAAGAGGGGAGCCCUGGCCUUCACCGAUUGUUAUAUAAGCCUACCCAUCAGGACUCUGUGUUCCGGAGCCUUGAGUUCCUGUCCUGUUACAUCCUUAGUCCCAGAUAAGGAUCUCCGUGCUUGGGUCAUGAGGGAGGAAAAAGAAAACAGAGAUUUCUGGAAUGUGGGGGCGGGAUACCGCAAUAACGUGUACAAACCCAAGGACUUGAGGACAAACACAAGGGAAACCAAAGCAGAGAAACCAAGUCCACGUCAUAGAGUAAAAGAAACAGUCAUUUGAACUUUGGGAGGAGUGGAAGCUGCCCAGAAAAUGAGGCAAGGUGAGCCUCUUGGCCAAAUUGCAGAGCAGGCUGGUCACAUCUGAAGGACUAGUUCAUGCACAGCCUGGGAGCCAUGAGUUCAUCUCUAUAUCCUUACGCUGUUAUUUCAAGGGAAAUUCCAUCUCUUCUUGGUAACUUUAUAAAACAUUCAUCCAAGCAAUACCCUGCACCUGAGAGGGGGGUUAAAUCAUCAUUGGCAUGAAUUGAAAUGAAAUGAAGUUCACGGGACUGGAUUUGCCUGGAAGCUUCCCCGAAGAUGUGUGUUACCUUGAUUUACAAUCUAAUGGUCCAUUUGUCUUACCUUCACAAGACUAGUGCGCUCAUUCCUGAAUGCUGGACUUGGCCCAGAGGCUCAGCAUCUAUAUUCUCCUUUCUCGUUCGUGUUUCUAACACUGCCCUGCAAGGUCAUUCCCAGGCUGUGAAGGAUUUGGAGGCAGGAUAGAAGAAUAGAUUCUUGGCCCUAUCCCCAAAUAUUACUGUGGUUCCAGCCCUAUGUAAACUAACUAUGUAACUCCUAACUCUGUUCUCAGUUACUCCAUCUGGGAAAUGGGAAUAACAAACCUCCUCUUGAGAACCUGAAGAUGCAUAAAAAACAUUUUUAAGUGAUUUCCAAGCUAGCUUAGAGGAUACUGCAUCUUUCAGAGAUGUUCACAGGGAUGAAGUCAGGCGCACAUAAAAGUAAUCCUCUUUACUUUGGAAUCAAACAGGAUUAUAGAACUUGAGUUGGGCAAUACAUUUUCAAUACUUGAUGGGGAGUGGCUGGUGUUCUAAGAAAACGGCUAUCUAGAGUUGAUAUCAAGAGGGACUAAAUACGAGUUUAUGAACAAGCAAGUUGCAAAAAAAAAAUUAAACUGCUCACAAAACUCUAAUCUAGGCUCUGACCGGGAUCUGUACUGCCCUGGAAUCCCAUCUGACCCUUAGAAAACUCUUUCACCCACGUAGAAGUCAGCCCCUGCUCACUAUGCAGGGAGGACAGCCAUUGCAUGUUCUUCUGAUGAGCCCGGGUUUCAGCCAAGCUGGAAGCACUAUGCAAUGCUUCACUGAAGUCUCUGUGAAGGAUGUACGGUGGGCAUCUAGUGAUAUCUGUCAAAUGAGUGGAUGUGCUUGCUCAGCGCAACUGAAGAUUCAGGCAGGCCACUUACUUUCCUCUGCAAUAAGAUACAACUCCGUACCCAGUACAGAAACAUUUGGCGGGCACUCAAAGCAGUAGAGGGACCAGUGAUAACGGCACUGACUACACAUUUGCUAACCAUGUAAUUCACGACUGUCAAACUUUACACACUUCAUCUGACUUUCACGGUGAUCUUGGGAGGCAUGGGAUAGGAUUUUAUUCCUUCCAUGGAAAGUCAAUGUGGCCCCAAAGACUUUUGUAAUGUGCAUGGUGCCUUAGGUUGCUGGGUGAUCUCAGUGCAGGCAGUUUGAAUCCAUCCUUCUAUCCACUCAACUGCAGAAUCCUUCAGAGGUUGAUGGCUCUAAUUAGGGAAGCAGAGUCCUGGCAAAGAGUUUGCACGCUGUCACGGUCCCCUCUAACCAACCAGCACGACAGCACUCCAGAUAGAUAAGUUGAGCCUGGCAGAGCAGGCAGGUAUCUAAUGGCUUUUAGACUUACUAUCAGGGCAUGAAUGGCAGGCGGGUCUACUGGCUCCUUCUGUGUUCCUCGAGGUGGGUGGGGAGGUCCUCAGUUCAGCCACCUCUGUAGGGUGUGCUCAUCUCACGCACUUCCCAUGCCUCCAGAGAGCAGGUCUGACAGUCACGUGUGCCUAGCAACCAAACGCCAGACACCUGUUACGUAGGAGGGGACAUGGGCUCUCGAGUAAAAAGCAAAGGUCUAUUUACAGAGCAAUGAUUCCUUGCUUUCACUUCAUGAGUACAGAAACUGAGGCAGCUUGCCAAGGGCUCCAGUCUGCCUGGUAACGGUGUAGAGAGCAGAAGCCAGGCCUCCUAACAGCACAUCACAGGUGCUUUCUCUGCCCUGUAGGACACACUGGAGAGAGAUGCCCUUCUGAUGGCUGUGUUGCCCUGAAGACCUGGGCACAAGCCCCUCAGCAAGCCCAGUGGCCAUAGGCGCACAGAAGGCAAGCCCAGCCAUGUGGAAGGGAGAGGCUUCUGAGCCCGUGUACAAAAAGGAUCCUUGGAGGAACCAUUCAUCCUGACCAGCCCCCUCCCACUCUUUGCCUGAAACUUAAUUAAUCAUGGUUGCAUCUGGAUUCAGACAAGACAAUAGCGGGGAUGUGUUUUUGGUUAGGAACUGAAGCUGCAUUUGCCGAGGAAUGUUGAUUAGUUAGUGGCUCUGUUUAUGGGAUGAUCCAUCAGGCUGUCUCAGCGUCUCCAUGAGGCCCUUCAGCAGCCAGAGGCUUUCCAGGAAGUGCCCUGGAUCUGGGAAAAGAGAGCACAGGAAGUACGUCUUAAUGUGUACAACAUGCCCAUAUGUGUAGAACAUGUCAAAUCACAGAUGGCCUUUUCAGCUCUGUUCCAAGCUUGGUGCAGGUAUCCAAGCAUACACCUGGCUGAGAGGGGAGCAAGAACAAGAUGCUGCAAGAUGCUCAGAUGCAGGCCCCCUGCUCGUGAUUGACCAAGGACCAGAGUAGACGCAAAGAUGCAACUACUCUCAGACCUGUAGACAACUUUUAGCACCAGAAGUAUCAAUGGUAAGAAGCAGGGGCUAGCAAACUAUAGCCCAUGGGCUGAAUAUAGCUCAUUACCUAUUUCUACACAGUUGUAUUAUAAUGGCCUCAUCUACCUGUGAUUUUGUUUAUAAAUACUGCUAGGCUGUCUAAAGACUAGUUAAGGUAGAAACUGAGAAAUGUUAAAAAUGUUUAUAUUUUGCAUCUGGAUAAAAGAACUUGCUGUAAUGCAGAAGCCUCUUUCCAGCUAGAGAGCCAGUGGUCACAUAGGCAGCCUACCCAGAAUCCUUCACACUCAACUCUUAAACCCCAGGCUGACAGGCUUAUUGGGAAGCUCUUGGGUUUGUUUAUAAUCUUUGUGACUCCUGCCCUCUGGUGGAAAAAUGUCUAAGUAGUCUAUGUCUACAUCAGGAAGCAAUGGAGAACUGUCUUGAAACUCAAGCUCUGUGGGAAACUUCAGAAACCAAGGCAAGCAUGGCUGCAGGCUCUUGACCUUUGGAACUGAUCUGAGUUCAGAACGAUAAUGUCCCUCAGUUACUGACUUAGGGCUACAGUCACACUCAGGGUAGGUUUGUGUUGACUCCAGACAGUCACUUGAUGAACAUAGAAAAAAAUGAGAUCAUUCACACUCAUUUAUUAUGCAGUUUAAAGGUAUGUAUUUAUUGAGGCCUGGAGAGAUGGCCUAGUUGUUAAGAACACAUAACUAUUGUAGAGGACCAAGAUUUGGUGUCCAGCACUCACAUGAUUCCUUAUAACCAUCUGUAACUCCAGUUCUAUGUGAUCUGAUGCAUUCUUCUGAUGCAGCCACACAUGCGACACAGAUAUACCCAUAUAGCCAAAACAUUUAUACCCAUACAUGAAUAUAAAUUUUUAAAAAUGUACCUAUUUUUUCAUCACAGAUAUAGGACUGUGAAGCAUGAACAAAUGAAACAAAUCUUUAGAACAUUCCAAUAAUAUAUUUUUAAAGGGCCAGCAGGAAAGAAGCAAUGUGCAUUCUGCUUUAUUAUUAUCUAGUUAAACCAUAGAUUGGGUUGUACUCGCAUAUUUUUGGUAGGUAAAUGCAUGAGGAAAAACGUCCAGAGGUAUUCUGUUUCUUUCCUAAAGCCACACCUUUAAGCUGGGCUCAUGGGAAAGCUUGGGUUGUAAGCAUCCUACGUUAGCACAUUGCUGCUGGAGGAGAGGGAAGGUUAGUACCUCCAGACAGCUGCCCUAGAGAGCUGACUCCAGGAUACUCCCUGCUGCUGGACACACAGUGGUGCUCCCAGGCUGACCUCAGGUAUGUCCAUCUUCAAGUCGUGUGCUGAACUAUCUGCUUACUUCUCUCCCGGACCCAGUUCUCCUUUACGUUUGUGUUGAAAAUGUUGCUAAUUGAGAGACUCAGGAUAGCCAAAGUUUUCUCCGAACUGUGAGUCCCUCAGUACAUCUCCUGGAUGAUCUUCUGCACGGAUUGAACGUGGUAUGGUCCAGCAGAGUGAGGAUGGACACUGUGCUCAUACAAGCAAUCAAAGUCAAAGAAGAGGGUCUGGAAUGAAGUAAUCGGAGUGGUGGCAAUCCUCACUCUCCUGGGUCAGAGCAGCCCACCCCAGCAACCUUUACCAAGACCCUGUAGGCUAAAUGGGAAGGAAGCUUGUGUGCAGUGUCAGGACUUGGCAUGAAACAUUGGCAUGUGCUGUAGCUUAGGGAAUGAUGAGCACAGUGAGGGUACCUAUAAUAGGUUGCGCUGAGGCAUUGGGAUAUCGAGCAAAGAAAAAGGCCUUCUUGCUGGCACAGACUGACUCUCUGUUGUCCAGUCAUCCCUUAGUUACUCUUAGGCCUUGGUGGACCCCAGAAUCUCUUACAGACCUACACAGCUUAAAUACUUAACAGUGUCUCCUAAUCUUCAACCUUGUAGGUGAGACUGUCAUUAAAUAAGUAGGCCUUAGAACAUCCAGAUCAGACCUCAGUGGGAAUCAUUUCACUCCAACAGAAACCCUGGGAAAGGUGACCUAGACAGAUCUCUGCUUGACAAAAGGAAAAAGUAACACAGGAAGAUGAAUAGAUGAGCCCCCGAUUACAUAUAUUGUGAGUAUCAGAGCUGGGAUCCCACAGGCCUGGACUCCAGAAGGAAGCCUUGGAGGGGAACUCAGGUGACAGAACAGCGACUUCCCGACUGGGCCUCUAUAAGCCCGUGCGCAUGGAUCCUACAUAUGCCACUAUUCCCAAGUUAAGGGAUUCACAGAGAAGCUCAUGUUCUACUUGUGUUCCACUGAAUGUACACAGAGAAGAGCGUGGAUGCCCCGAGGGAGGGGAGAUAACAGACAUACCCUGCAUGAAACAGGCAGAGUUGAGGUGAUCUUGUGAAGAGCCGCUGGAAUUGUAACAUUAUUUGUGGCUUUGGGUGUGCAUAUGUUGUUUUGUUGUUGUUGCUUUUAGUUCAUUCAGCAUGAUUCUUCACUGAGUCUUUAAAUGAAAUCAUUCAAGAUAACAUUUCCCAUGAAACCUUUGCCAAGACCAAGGCGGGAAGUAAAAAGAGAAGAAAGAUGAAGGGCAAGAUUGAUACCCUGGCAAGCUGCAAAUAUGAUAUAGAGUUAGCUUGUUUCUUUUUUCAGUAUUACGAAUUGUAUAAACAGCAGAAUGCGUAUGUAAGUUUCCUAUGUUAAACACAUUGUUAUCUUCAAAAUAACUGAAAUUUUUCAUCGACAAUAGUCUUUCUUUACUAUAUAAAUAAGGUAUUUGGCAAUUUCAAACUAA